CAAGCCUCUGCUAAUGUGUACCUAGUUUAUAUUAGUGACCCAUAGGUUGAGGAGGCGGUGACCGUGGCGGUGGAGGAGGAGGAUGAGGUAGCCAACACUGUUUAUAUAUUUAUAUAUAUUAAUUGGGGUAGCCCCCAUGCAUAUAAAAAAAGACAACUCUGUUCCGCAGAGUAGCUGUUGACAUUAUAGUUGCGCAGGAACUUUGUUGACUCUAGAGAACCUCGGACAAAUCGCACAUCCCCGUGGCGGUGACUUUGCAUGCGGAUGUCAUCCAUUUCAACUUUCAAUGCCAGUUUGUGCGCCUACCAUGGUGACCACGGGUAACGGGGAAUCAGGGUUCCAUUCCAUACAGGGACCCUGGGAAACUGCUACCACAUGCAAGGAAGGCAG
Pelobates cultripes (western spadefoot toad) is the source of this 390-nucleotide non-coding RNA. NCBI's taxonomy places the organism in Eukaryota, Metazoa, Chordata, Amphibia, Anura, Pelobatidae. The record is from the annotation of a GenBank genome assembly.